Molecule: transfer RNA, 71 nt
Filed under: Streptomyces actuosus
Lineage: Bacteria; Bacillati; Actinomycetota; Actinomycetes; Kitasatosporales; Streptomycetaceae
Also listed under: 2 other names
Rfam family: tRNA
About the family: Transfer RNA (tRNA) molecules are approximately 80 nucleotides in length. Their secondary structure includes four short double-helical elements and three loops (D, anti-codon, and T loops). Further hydrogen bonds mediate the characteristic L-shaped molecular structure. tRNAs have two regions of fundamental functional importance: the anti-codon, which is responsible for specific mRNA codon recognition, and the 3' end, to which the tRNAs corresponding amino acid is attached (by aminoacyl-tRNA synthetases). tRNAs cope with the degeneracy of the genetic code in two manners: having more than one tRNA (with a specific anti-codon) for a particular amino acid; and 'wobble' base-pairing, i.e. permitting non-standard base-pairing at the 3rd anti-codon position.
Source: Rfam by way of RNAcentral
UCCCGGGUCGUCUAAGGGCAAGACGGCGGUUUUUGGUACCGCUUAUAGGGGUUCGAAUCCUCUCCCGGGAG